Molecule: long non-coding RNA, 269 nt
Filed under: Lathyrus oleraceus (garden pea)
Lineage: Eukaryota; Viridiplantae; Streptophyta; Magnoliopsida; Fabales; Fabaceae
Description: Pisum sativum (pea) long non-coding RNA (PSAT_LNC026477)
Source: RNAcentral
UUCCAUUCACCAACAACCAUGUCCUCUUCUCUCUACUCUCUAUAAUAAACACAAACAAUCUCCUCCAUUGACUUCAUUUUCCAAUCGCCACUCCUUCAUAUACAUAUCCACCUUCUAUUUUUCUUAUUCACUUCAUCAUCCUCAUGCAAUAAACCAUGAAAACCAACAACCUAACAUAACAUCACCUCCUUCAUAUUUUCAGAAAAUGAAAACAUCCCAUAAACACCUAUUAUCCAUUUGUUAUCUCCAUAGCCCACUCUCAAUCAUUU